RNAcentral lists this ribosomal RNA (398 nucleotides) under uncultured bacterium. RNAcentral's name for it is "partial 16S ribosomal RNA". It matches the Rfam family "Bacterial small subunit ribosomal RNA", at positions 523 to 918 of the family's 1533-position model. The record is from RNAcentral.
AUACGUAGGUGACAAGCGUUAUCCGGAUUUACUGGGUGUAAAGGGCGUGUAGGUGGUUUGUCGCGUCGUCUGUGAAAUUCCGGGGCUUGACUCCGGGCGUGCAGGCGAUACGGGCAUAACUUGAGUACUGUAGGGGAGACUGGAAUUCCUGGUGUAGCGGUGAAAUGCGCAGAUAUCAGGAGGAACACCGGUGGCGAAGGCGGGUCUCUGGGCAGUAACUGACGCUGAGGAGCGAAAGCAUGGGUAGCGAACAGGAUUAGAUACCCUGGUAGUCCAUGCCGUAGACGGUGGGCGCUAGGUGUAGGGGUCUUCCACGACUUCUGUGCCGUAGCUAACGCAUUAAGCGCCCCGCCUGGGGAGUACGGCCGCAAGGCUAAAACUCAAAUGAAUUGACGGGG